UGCCGGACCUGACUGCUAUCGGAUUGAUACUAAGCCAUGCGAGUCAUCGUAGCAAUACAAGGCAUACGGCUCAGUAACGCGUAGUCAACCUAACCUAUGGACGGGAAUAACCUCGGGAAACUGAGAAUAAUGCCCGAUAGAACAUUAUGCCUGGAAUGGUUUAUGUUCCAAAUGAUUUAUCGCCGUAGGAUGGGACUGCGGCCUAUCAGUUUGUUGGUGAGGUAAUGGCCCACCAAGACUAUUACAGGUACGGGCUCUGAGAGGAGUAGCCCGGAGAUGGGUACUGAGACACGGACCCAGGCCCUAUGGGGCGCAGCAGGCGAGAAAACUUUGCAAUGUGCGAAAGCACGACAAGGUUAAUCCGAGUGGUUUCUGCUAAAGAAACCUUUUGUCAGUCCUAGAAACACUGAUGAAUAAGGGGUGGGCAAGUUCUGGUGUCAGCC
RNAcentral lists this ribosomal RNA (443 nucleotides) under uncultured archaeon. RNAcentral's name for it is "bacterial SSU rRNA". It matches the Rfam family "Archaeal small subunit ribosomal RNA", at positions 15 to 463 of the family's 1478-position model. The record is from RNAcentral.